This is a non-coding RNA of Erythranthe guttata (spotted monkey flower), 2901 nucleotides long. The record is from RefSeq and is a predicted model, not a curated record. NCBI's taxonomy places the organism in Eukaryota, Viridiplantae, Streptophyta, Magnoliopsida, Lamiales, Phrymaceae.
CUUCGAAAACAUUUAAACUUGUCAGCUACGCUGCGCACAAUCCCCAAUUAACCCCGCGCUUUUUUUUAAGAGCCUCCCUCGUUAGCCGCAACCUCCAAAAUUUGUUCAUACAUUUCUUAAUUCUUAGGGUUCCGACCAUCAAUCAAUUCAAUUAUAAUCCGAUGGGGAAGGCGAAAAGGAAUUGCGCCAUUGUAAUCUCAUCCUCCGACGACGAAAAAGAUAAAGAUAAUAACCUGUUACUGAAGAGCGGUUUUAGUUCUUCAAAAUCAGCCCCCACUAGGAAAAACCCUAAAAGGGCGAAGAGGGUUUCGCUACCGAGUUCCAAUUCGCGGCAGCCGUUUCAGUACUCCAGUUCUAGUGGCUUUGAUGAGGUGAAACGGAUUUGUGAGGAAUUUGAUCAAGGACUCACUCAGUUCAAGGUAACACCUGGUUCUAGAAGUAACAAGGACCUAUGGGUUGAGAAGUAUACACCUAGUUGCUUGGAGGAGCUAGCUGUCCAUAAGAAGAAGGUUGAAGAAGUAAAAAUCUGGUUUGAGGAGAGACUAAAAAACCCCGUGGAUAAUUCAUACAGUAAUGUCAUCCUCAUCUCUGGGCAAGCUGGAGUUGGAAAAUCUGCAACCAUACAUGCGAUUGCACGUCAUCUUGGAGUGGAAGUGCACGAAUGGAACACACCUACCCCCACCAUAUGGCAAGAGCAUCUGCACAAUUCUAAUUCAGGGAUAAGCUAUAUGUCAAAGUUGGACGAGUUCGAAAGUUUCGUUGAAAAGAUAAGGAAAUAUGGAUUGAUUUCCUCAUCCUUGACCAAAGUCUCUCCAUUGUCAAUUAUACUCUUGAUCGACGAUAUUCCUUUGGUAAAAGGGAAGGUAUCGUACGGGAGGCUGCAGAGGUGCUUCCAUCUUCUUUUGCAAUCUGUUCGUCUCCCGACAGCCAUUUUAAUCAAUGAAUACGGCAGAUCCGAAUCUGCCGAGCACCAUAGCCGGUACUGGGAAGAACUCCAGUCAUCUCUACAAAAAGCCGGGGCUUGCAAGGUUUCGUUUAAUCCAAUCACGGCCAAUUCCAUCAAAAAAGUACUUUCGAAAAUACGCAGAGUGGAGAGAAUCGAAGUGAGUGAUGAACAGAUUAAUCUUCUAGCAAACACCAGUGGAGGAGAUAUAAGACACGCAAUUACAUCCUUACAGUAUUUCUCUCUGAAACCACGCUCGAUGGAUUCUCUAUCUGUUCGUUCGGCUUAUCGAGAAGAGAAAGGGGCCGAGAGCAGUCAUUUGGAUGAUGGAGUUAGUCUCGCAUUUGGGAAGGAUGCAACUCUAUCAUUAUUUCACGCAUUAGGCAAAUUUCUGCACAACAAACGAGAGACUGGAAGUUUAGCUACGUCAGACGAAGGUGCAAUUCUUCUUAAGGAGAAAUUUAUCAGGUGUCCGCUAAAAAUGGAUGCUCCGGAGUUGGUACUUUCUCAGGCACAUGGGCAGGCAACGCUUAUUGUUGACUUUCUCCAUGAAAACGUUCUUGAUUUUGUGAGGGAGGAGUCAAUUGACGACGCAUGGGUCAUUGGUACAUAUUUAAGUGACAGUGACUUACUUCUUGCCUCAUCGGCAAGUUUGAGUCGAAACUAUGAAGCUGAGAAUGUUUUACAAUCUACUGCUGCUUCUAUUGCUGUGCGUGGAGUCUUAUUUGGGAAUAAUUAUCCACUGUCUUCUAGGUGGCAUGCUAUUCGCCGUCCAGUGCUCUGGCAGGUCGAGCAAUCACUGUGGCGCAAUAAGGUUGAUUUUUGCCAGGGGCAUAGCUUUUAUUGCAGUUUCACGUUUUUCAAUAUAUUCUUGUGUCAAAUGCAAAGUGAAAGGAGAGAUGCUCGUAUGAAUACGAGUCUGAACAAUCAUACAGUUAUAGCCACCGAGUUUAAACCGGCACUCAAUUGGCUUGGGCAUAGAUUACCCGAUUAUACUGCAAAUGAUGCUAUGAAGACGAUGAAGAUGACGAUGAAAUUGAAGAAUGGUAACAUUUUAUUGGCUUAGUAGUAGUAGUAGUGUCUCUGCGAUUUGUGUAUAUUUAUGUAAAUAGCUGUUUAUAGAAUGCCGUUUUAAUUGCGAAGUCGUUGAACUGUUAUUGACGAGUACACGGGAAUACGGCAAGUAGGGGUGGCAAUUUGGAUCCGGUUCCGUGGAUCCAAUUAGAUCCGGUUCGGUUCAUAAGGAUCCGGUUUAGAUUAAGUUUAGUUGAAACAAAUCGGAUCCGAUCCAUUUGAUAUUUUUUUAAAACUGGAUCCCUGUGGAUUCACUUUAAACCCAUUAAAAGUUUAACCACAAAAUAAAUUGGGUCAUAUUGGAUCCAAUCAAAACCCAAUUAAAACCCAAUCAAAUACCAACACAAUUUUCUCACAAAAAAAAGUCAAAAUAUUAUUUUAAUUAAAAGUUUAAUCGAUAAAAAAUUCUCCCUCAGAUUUCACCCCAAAAAUUUCUUAACCCAUCGCCAUUCCCCACCUCCAUCGCCGUUCCUCGCCGCCGUAUACCGCUCCUCGCCGACCGCCGCCGUCUACAACCUCCACUCCGCUCGCCGCCGUCAACAACCUGCACUCCGCUCACCGCCGUGAAAAGCCUCCACUCCGCUCGCCGCCGUCAACAGCCUCCUCUCCGCUCGCCGCCGCCGCACGCCGCUCGCCGCCAAGACCUUCGCCGUCGCCUUCCCGCCGGAAAAUAAGGCCUUCCGGUGGUUUGAGGCCGCGGAGACCGUCGGAAAAUGUUAAGGAACUGAGGAGAAGCAAGUCGGAGCCAACUCCGGGGAAUCAUUCCGAGGUGUCAAGAUCAUUCCAGGUGAUUCUUGGUUUGGAGUUUAUUGUAAAGUUAUGGUCUUUAGUCUUUACACACUUUGAUAUAGAUUGAAAUAGAUGGAGAAUGAUGAUGAGGACAA